Vicia villosa (hairy vetch) is the source of this 7705-nucleotide long non-coding RNA. RefSeq lists it as uncharacterized. The record is from RefSeq and is a predicted model, not a curated record. The transcript has 3 exons. NCBI's taxonomy places the organism in Eukaryota, Viridiplantae, Streptophyta, Magnoliopsida, Fabales, Fabaceae.
UUCUCACGUUCAUCUCUCCCUGUACCUCUCUCAGUUUCAAUUUGACAAUAAUCUCUUUCUCCCAUCUCUCAUUUCAUCUUUCUCAUUCACUCAAUAAACUCAAAACAAACAAAGCUCAAACAAAACAACCUAACAUUCAAUCGGUUCCAAAAUCAAAGAAACACAAGAUUAAAUGGCCAAUCAAAAUGUUAAACGGAAAGGAAACAAAAUUACAGCAACUUCAUAGUUUGAAUGGAUCAGAAUAGUUACCAACAACGAAGAACUUUUCGCUGGAAAAUCUGUCGAGCUGGGUCCUCGUGUCCGUGUACGGGCUUCAUAGGUGGUGAUUUGAAUCGGAGCUGAAUCGGAACACAAGGGUUGUUUGUGGUUGAUGUUGUUGGAGAGCCAUUUGCGGUGGAUGUGUUUUCGAUGGUUGCAUUUGAUACAGGUCGAAAAUUGUUGUGGAGUUGUUAUUACGGAUGAUGAAGGUCGACAGCGGAUGGGAGCGACCCGUGGUGGUUCGUCGCUCGCAGCUGAGGAUCCGAAAUAGAGGGAAUCGUGGGCGUCGGAAUGAAGCGUUACAACAGUUCUAAGCUUUUGGCUUCCAAGGUUUGAUUUCAUUCCUUCCUGUUUCUGCAAAAAAACUCAAAUGGUGUUGUUAGAAAUGAAUUUUAUAUGUUGAAAUUCUUAUGUUACGGAUGAAGGAUAAAGGGGUGGAUUUGGGUUUGAGUUUAUAAUUUUGAACGAUGUUAAUGGUAUAUUGCUGAAAGGUUUGAAUGGUGUAAAUGGUUUUGGAAAGAGUGUAAUUUGGGAUGGAAUUUGUGAAGACUUGAAAUUAGAGAGAUAAUACUGAUACGUGUUCUUUUUGGCCUCUGAGAACAUACUGUGAAUAGAAUUAGUUCAAACCAAUUAGAUUGUAAUAUUUCUAUUGUUGCAAAACAAUCUUAAAAAUAUGUACAAAAAAAAUAAGGCUUAUGCACAUGUAAGAAACUUUGUAAAAAUAAUUGCUUCUGUUAAAGAAUAUCUGAAGAAAAAAAUGUCAGUGGACAAUUGUUAUUAACAAUGGUGAAUCUAUGAACCUUGACUAAAACAACAUGGUUUAUUAGAAAAUGAAAAGCAUGUGCUUUUAGGAAAUUAGUAUACGUGAAAGUGUAUGAAUGGAAUUACAAAUAUGAAAUUUGUAGUUUGUAGAUGUAAAAUUAUUUACAAGGUUAAAAUUAUUAGUAUAAAAACAAACUGUCAUUUGUAGUUUGUAGAUGUAAAAUUAUUUACAAGGUUAAAAUUAUUAGUAUAAAAACAAACUGUCAGAUAAUCAUCAUUCGGUUUAAAAUUAACAUUGAAAUAAAUUGGUGAGCCUAAUAUUAAAAUCGUUGGCUAAAACAAUAAAGGUUUUGAAGAAAACAUAUGAAAAAAGUUUGCAAAAUUAUGAAUGGUUGUUAAUGAAAAAUGAGGGUGGGAAGUGCCCUUUUUAUAGACUGGAAUUAGUUCAAAACAAUCCUAAAUAACGAAAAGAUUCGACCCAGAGGCCCAUGGACCUUCCUUGGUCACCAAGAUUAAGAACCCGGACGUACUUGCGUCCAGGUGCAAAAAAGAUUAAAAAUAGUUUAUAAAAAUGACAGUGCACCAAGCGGGAUUCGUACCCGUGACCUUCUGUUUGCAAGUCUUACUUUCUUACCAAUUGAAAGUGUAUGAAGCAUCGGCCAACAUUUUGUUAUUUAUUAAAAUAUAAAUAAUUUAAGAGUAAACCAUUAUAUUUUAAAAUAGACUUUAAAUCGAAUAUUUAUAAAAUUCAGGAUAUCACUGUAAAUGAAACCAAGAUUUUUAUAAAACUCAAUUUUGAAAUUAAUUAUAAUAGCUUGAAAAGUGUGGGCAAAUUUUGGAAUAUAACGGAAGGCAUUGCAUAUGUCAACGAUGAUGGUUAAGGAAUUGGAAUUAAUUGAAUAGUUCAGAGAUUUGAGUUUAGUUUGCGAGAGGAGACCGCAGAGUGUUAUGUUGAGAAUGCAGAAGAUUAGUAGUGAUUUCCUAACUAAAAUCCAAGCAUCCCAGAAGUUGGAUGUGAAAUUGGUAGAUGUGAUGGUUGGAAGUAAUCAAUCAGAAGAUUACGACUUUAAGAUGGAUGAACAAGGGGUGUUGAGGUUUCGCGGUAGAAUUUGUAUUCCAGAUGAGGAUGAUGUGAAGAAGAUGAUUCUCGAAGAAGGUCAUCGAAGCAUUUUGAGUAUUCAUCCUGGGGCUACUAAGAUGUAUCAAGAUCUGAAGAAAUUAUUUUGGUGGUCUAGGUUGAAGCGCGAUGUAGCGCAGUUUGUGUAUGGGUGUUUGACUUGUCAAAAGUCGAAAGUUGAACAUCAGAGACCUGCAGGAUUGAUGCAACCGUUAGAUGUUCCAGAAUGGAAAUGGGAUAGUAUAUCGAUGGAAUUUGUGACGGGAUGCCUAGUACUCCUAGAGGUUAUGAUGCAUUUUGGGUGAUUGUUGAUCGGUUGACAAAAUCGGCUCAUUUUGUUCCGGUUAAUAUUAGUUUUUUUGUACCGAAGUUAGGGGAGAUUUAUAUUCGUGUGAUUGUGAAGCUUCAUGGUGUUCUGGCAAGUAUUGUGUCGGAUAGAGAUCUGAGAUUUACUUCUGAAUUUUGGAAAAGUUUGCAUGAUGCGUUGGGUUCUAAGCUGAGAUUGAGUUCGGCGUAUCAUCUGUAGAUGAUGGUCAAACAGAGAGGACUAUUCAAUUACUAGAGAACUUGUUGAGAGCUUCUGUUUCUGAGCAAGGAGGUUCGUGGGAUACUUACCUUCCACUGAUAGAGUUUACGUACAAUAAUAAUUUUCAUUCUAGUAUUGGAAUGACUCCUUUUGAAGCUUUGUACGGUCGAAGAUGUAGGACUCUGUUAUGUUGGUAUGAAUCAGGCAAGAGCAUAGUUCUUAGACCUAAGAAUGUUCGACUGAUUACCGAGAAAGUGAAUCUAAUUCGGGAAAAGAUGAAGUCUUCUUAGAGCAUGCAGAAGAGUUAUCAUGAUAAGCGAAGGAAAGAACUUGAUUUUCAAGCGGGAGACCGUGUAUUUUUUAGAGUCACUAUGGUGACAUGUGUGGGUCGUGCCUUGAAGUCGAGGAAGUUGACGCCUCAGUUUAUCGGUCCAUAUCAUAUUUUUGAGAAAGUGGGAGCUAUUACGUAUAGGGUGGAGUUGCCGCCUAAUAUUUCAAAUUUGCAUGAUGUGUUUCAUGUUUUGCAACUCCGGAAGUAUAUUUCAGACUCAUCACAUGUGAUUCCGAUGGACGAUGUGCAAGUAAGAGAUAACCUUAUAGUAGAGAUGGUACCUGUACGAAUCGAGGAUCGUGAGGUAAAGAAGCUAAGAGGCAAAGAGAUUGCUUUAGUAAAGGUCAUUGAGGAGGAGCUGCUGGACAGAAUGCGACGUGGGAACUAGAAAAUAGGAUGCGAGAGUCGUAUCCAGAGAUGUUCGCAUCAGGUAAGUUUUCAAGGGCGAAAAUACUCUAAGUGAGGGAGAGUUGUAACACCCGUUUAUUUUAUUUGAUUAUUUAAUUUGAUGUUUGUGAAUUAUUUUAUGAAAAGGUGGUUUAUUUGUGAAUUAUUGAUAUUUAUGCUAUAUUAUAUAGUUGAAUAAUAAUAUUAAUAAUAGUAAUAAUAAUAGAAUAAUUGAUUAAUUAGUAAUUGGGCCUAUUAUGGUGUUAGCAUUAGAAUUAGUGGAGGUGUGGGGUUAAGCCCAUUAGUAAAGUGAAAAUUAAUGAGGGCUUGAUCGGAAAAAUAGCAAGUGUACUAUUUUUAACGAUGUAGUAAUAAAAAUGGGUCAGUCCCAAGUAUCGAUCUCAAGGAUUGCGUAGGAAAUAUAAGUUUUUAUAAUGAUUCAAUUAAACAAAAGAACAUGGGUGUUUAGUUUGGUUUGAUAAAAUAAUGACUAAAAUCGUAAUUAAAAGACACAGAUAAAUAAACGACUAACAUAGAUGAUCAGAUUGCUAGGGCUUGGUGAAUGAUUCUUCAUGCAACAAAUUUGCCUUCUCAAUGCAACAACAUUAAUUUUUUUUAUCAAUUGAUUACCGGUUCUCGGGAGUAUCUAAUUCUAAGUCCUUAGAUAAAAGAUUUUUGACAUCACAGCCUAAUUACUAUGUCCAUAGCUAAUUACGGUAUGAUCAAAGCAUUCAAAUAACAAGAAUUCCGGUUACGAUAAGAUACCCCUAGUCCUAGGUGAUAUGAAUUAUCAGACGUUUAUACUCAAGUCAACAAAUAAUUUGUUGUCCAGCUUAAACUAUUGAUUCAUACUCAGAAUUCGUUUUUCUGACGGUUAAAGCAUUACGAACAGAUAAAGAAUAAAUCAACAACAAUGAAAACUAAAAUUAUUAUUGCAUCAAUUGAACAACUUCAUCACGAUCAGAAUCAGGGUCACCCCCUAGCAAUGGGGGAUUUAGCUACUCGUAACGGAAAAUAAAAUUAAGAUAGAAGCUGUAGUCAUUACAGAAAUUUCGGAGGAAUCAAUCUUCAAUUGUGAAGUAUUCUUGAAUCAUGAAAUCCUUAUGAAAUUCUGAGUUCUCCAGCCUUCAAAAUAUGUUUUUCUUUCCAAAAUUCAUCGAACCCUUGUCCAAAUGCGUUUUUUUCCUUUUAUUUCCGUCUCUCUGGGAUUUUCAGAGAAGAAAGCCUAAAAUAUUGCGUACAAACGCGUGCGGGGACACGUCUGGCACAGUGAGAUGCGUCCUGGGACGUGUUUGGGCAGUGGGCAUAUUGUCCUUUGCUUUUCCUCCACCUGGCACGCGUGUGGAGACUUAUCUGGGGCCUAAGGCACGCGUCCUAGGACGCGUGUGACUAGAGGAGCGUUAUUUUCACCCUCUUGCAGGAUGCAAGACAUGUCUGGGUAGAGGGACACAUUCUGGCUUUCAUGUGCAGUAACGGAUGCAUCUUGGAAGCAUUUAAGCAUAGUGUCAUACCCUAAUUUUUGACCCCCCCUGAGAUGACAUAUCUUCAGGAUUUUCAUCAAGUCAAAGUAAGUACUCAGGGCAGUCUGGCAUUCAAUCGAGGGUAUUCAAAGACAAGAAAACUCAGGCAAAGGAUCAAUCAAUAGAGGGAUUAGUCUCUAAUACAAUCAUAAGACUCAAAAGCUUCAUUAUUUCACCUAUGAUUGAUUAGACACCCAGUCAUCUAAGUACAGAAUUACUCAGAUCAACAGACUAGGGUUUGGAGCCUAUCAAGGACUAAAAUCAGGGAUCACCUUUGGGAAACCCUAAGAAGCCCCAGGGAACCAUUCAAAGACAUCAAUCAUCUUCAAAUAACUCAUAUGACAAGAUCCACUGGACAUUACACCUCAGUUCAAAGUCUACAGUCAUCAUUGUCCUCUGGUCGACAAUUAGGGUUUUUGACCUAAUUCACCAAGAUAGUUGACUUUUAAUCAGGGCAUGGAUCCAAAACUCAAGACAUGAUUCAAGAGUCUCUACUACCUCAAUAUAAUCCAUUUACAUCAAUCAUUUGAGGAGAAGAUCUUGUUUCUACACAAAAGCCCAAAAAUUCACUUUGUCAGGAAAAGUCAACUGUGUGAGAUCAUCAUUGACUUUUAAGGUUUUUGGUCAAAAAAUGACUUUCAAAGAUCAAUAUCAUCAAUAUAUGGAUGUCAAAGUCAUUUGACCAAAGAAAUUCAAAGAAGUUCAUCAAGGAGCAAAAAGUCGGGAAUUAGGGUUUUUGAAGGCAUGGUGAGAACUCAAAAUUUCACCUACACAACUCAAAAAACUUCCAACAUGAAAGUUGUAGAUCUUGCAAAAUAAAACAACAUCUUACAAAGGAACUUUUUUCAAAAGAUCAAUCAUUCAUGAAGUUUUGGGAAUUUUGAAGUUUAGGUCAUAAACACUUAGAAAUUUUUCUAAGUGUUUUAACCUAGUUUUCAUCCAACUUUGGGCUCAUUUUUCACAAAUUUCCCAAAUGAUUCUGAAGAAGACAUAAACUAAUGAUUUGAAGUAGAUGUUUAGGGCUUUCCAAAUUGUGUUCAACCUUCUCCAAAUUCAAUUUGAGCUAGGAGUUAUGCUUGUUCAAAGUUGGCCUCAUGAAGUAAAAUUAUAGGUCAUGUGCAAAUUGGAACUUUGCAAUUUUGUGCAUUUUGCUUCACUAAUGGAUGCUACACGACCCAUAACAUGUCUGAAACAAUACCAUGCAUUCAUUUUCACCAUGCCAUGAUAAUUGAAGAAGAUUCCUAAAACAAGAACAUGUGAUUAUGUAAUGAUUACUUUUGAGAAUUUAUGGCAAAUUGAUGAAUCGCCCAAGGAAUCUUCUCACCAACCAAUUAGAGCUCACUUUACAUCUGAAUUGUCCCCUAAGAUCAGAUAGAAUCAAUGGAUAGGGGAGGUGGCUCGAAAAUGCAAUGAUCACACUUGGAUAUUCUUUGAAAUUUCUUCAUGGCUAAGAAACCAAACUUGCUUCACUAAGCAAGCUCACACUCUCACUCAGUACUGAACCAAUUGCCUAUAAAUAGAGGCCUCAUUCUCAUUCAAAAAAGACACCAAAGCAACCAUAUUCCUUGCUUUCUCUUUCUCUUCUCAUGUUCAUUGUUUUUCAAAGUUCUUUGGCAAGAAGAAUCGAUUUCUUCAAACCAGAGCUCAUCUUUGGGAAGUGAACAUUCUAACAUCUCAAGGGAGGUCAUUUGAGGUGAUCCAAGCACCUGGAUCACUUCUGUAAGUGGAGGAACACCAUUGUUGCUCUCACUUUGGAGCAUCUGCAGUUGGAGGUCCAUGGAGUAAUUCAGGAGGUUCUGAGCCAAGCCAAUCAUCCAGGCACAAUCCUCAGGUCAUAGUGAAGCUAACCAGAUGGGUGCAGCUCAUCUGUAACUCCAAAUUCAACAACCUCCAUGUUCACUUGAAGCUGAAAUCGAGGGAGGUCCAUAGAACAAUUCAGAAGGAUUCAAGCUCCAAUAAACAUUCAGUUAGCAUCAUUGAGUCUCAGGGAAGCUAUUGAGAUCAUUCAUUCAAGCCCAGGUGCUCUCUAUCAUCCUCACGACCUCCAUUUUCAGAGGUAAGUUUCUGAACUCCACCUCUUUAAUUUAAGCACUCUUUAUGGUAAAGCUCGAUUCUAUCUUGUUUAGCAUCAUCAGAGGAUUGAAAACCCUCUAUCAUCUUGCAUUUAUUCAUCUUGUUUGCCAUUUAAUUUCAAAUUUAGGGUUUAUAUGUUCUUAGAGUUUUCUGAGAAAUUAGGUAGAUAUAGUUCAUAUAAAUAAAUGUUAGUUACAUAUCUGGAUUCGUGAGGAAAUUUAGAACAAGAUUGAUGUUUACAUCAUGUCAUUUAGUUGAGAAACCAGAGAGUUAGGAUUUUGAAAAUCUUUGAGCUCGAGGAAGAAGAUGACUAUGGCCAUGGCGCGCAAAAUUUGAAUCUGGGGCCAAAGUUUAUUUUAUUUUGAAUGGUAUGCGUUCCUUAAACGACUGAACAAACUUGCCCUAGUGGCCUCCCAUACGCCCUUAGUCUCAUCAUGCCUCAAGUCUGGGGUUCGAAUCCCCCUCGCCCCAGACUUUUUGAUUCUUUUAUUUUUCAAUGAUUUACUAGUUGUUUUGAAACAUAACCAAAUGAAUGCAAGUUGCUAUCACCACACGCGCGUUGGCUCAGUGGUGUUUGUUUUGAGUGUGUGACAUAGAGGGCGUGGGUUCAAACCCUCCAAGGGCCAAAACUAUUUUUUUAACACACAAUUUCUUUCAUUUUCUCACAAACUUCACAUAUUUAUUUAACCUAUCAAAUUAAUUUAUUUUCACUUCAUUUUUCACACACUUAU